RNAcentral lists this ribosomal RNA (497 nucleotides) under uncultured bacterium. RNAcentral describes it as "partial 16S ribosomal RNA". It matches the Rfam family "Bacterial small subunit ribosomal RNA", at positions 28 to 507 of the family's 1533-position model. The record is from RNAcentral.
GACGAACGCUGGCGGCGUGCCUAAUACAUGCAAGUUGAGCGCUGAAGGUUGGUACUUGUACCAACUGGAUGAGCAGCGAACGGGUGAGUAACGCGUGGGGAAUCUGCCUUUGAGCGGGGGACAACAUUUGGAAACGAAUGCUAAUACCGCAUAAAAACUUUAAACACAAGUUUUAAGUUUGAAAGAUGCAAUUGCAUCACUCAAAGAUGAUCCCGCGUUGUAUUAGCUAGUUGGUGAGGUAAAGGCUCACCAAGGCGAUGAUACAUAGCCGACCUGAGAGGGUGAUCGGCCACAUUGGGACUGAGACGAGGCCCAAACUCCUACGGGAGGCAGCAGUAGGGAAUCUUCGGCAAUGGACGAAAGUCUGACCGAGCAACGCCGCGUGAGUGAAGAAGGUUUUCGGAUCGUAAAACUCUGUUGGUAGAGAAGAACGUUGGUGAGAGUGGAAAGCUCAUCAAGUGACGGUAACUACCCAGAAAGGGACGGCUAACUACGUG